ACACUUACCUGGCAGGGUGCCAUGAUCAUAAAGGUGGUUUCCCCAGGCUGGGCUUAUCCAUUGAGUUCUAGAUGUGUUGAUCUCUGUGAUUUUCCCAAAUUCAAGAAACUUGACUACAUAAUUUGGAAUAGUUGGGAGACUGAGUUCAAGUCCCCC
This is a small nuclear RNA of Mesocricetus auratus (golden hamster), 156 nucleotides long. Its record names the gene U1. It matches the Rfam family "U1 spliceosomal RNA". Rfam says of the family: U1 is a small nuclear RNA (snRNA) component of the spliceosome (involved in pre-mRNA splicing). The record is from Ensembl. NCBI's taxonomy places the organism in Eukaryota, Metazoa, Chordata, Mammalia, Rodentia, Cricetidae.